This is a non-coding RNA of Camellia sinensis, 1021 nucleotides long. The record is from RefSeq and is a predicted model, not a curated record. Lineage: Eukaryota; Viridiplantae; Streptophyta; Magnoliopsida; Ericales; Theaceae.
GGUAUUGGAUUCUAUACCCAUCUUCCCCAAUUACGGGACAAUAUACCAUCUGGCAAAGUCACCUGCAUAUUGGCUCUCCGUCUUGGUUAUAAUAGUCUUAGCAUUACUCCCUCGCUUUAUUUGGAAAGUUAUACAUUAAAAUUUUUGGCCUUCAGAUAUCCAGAUAGCUAGAGAAGCUGAGAUACUGAGAAAAGAACCUAAUUAUUUUGGGUCUAAGCCAGAUCCAGGUUCCAGUUAAUAUGUAUAUUAUUAACUGAUCCAAUUUGCUAUGACCUGGCCAGAGUUUGUCCAGCCAAAUGUGAAAUUUAAUGUUCAUAUGAAAGUGACACAAGCUGACAUCAUUCCAAUUGGAUUUAGCAUUUAAAAUGACACAAAGGGAAGAGAGGGAAGUGCAGAUCCGAGGGGGAAUGCAGAGCCGAAGGGAGGGUGAGGGUUUGGUUGAUACUAAUGAUAAGAUGGUCUGGUCGGGGAGUCUUCCUACCACAUCAUGUAGCGGUAAUACAUCACAUGGCUCAGUUUCAGCUGUUCAGGGAACAACAGCGAUAAAUGGAAAAAGUGCGUUGGAGACAAUGAUGGAGAGGCUGGAUUACAAGUUAACAAAACUCAGAUUCCGAAUAUAAUUGCAGAGACGCAAUGCAUAGAGAGGGGCAUCCAAUUGUGGUGAACUAGGUUGAUAUGGUAGGAAAAUGAUUUGUGUGUGAAUGUGGUUAUUGUGAAUGAGAAUAUGAAUAUCAAGUUGGCUCAAAUGUCCAUAUUUGUAUUUUGGUGAACUCAGAUUCCUAUUUUGGCUCAAAUAGAGGGACAUCCAAUUUUGGUGACUCCUUAAUGUAAUUCAAAUGAUUUGUGUGUGAAUGUUUUUGUUUUUUUUUUUGGUGACUCCUUAAUGUAAUUCAUUUGAUAAGAUUUUACUAUGUGAAUGGGAGUUAUUAUUUCAUAUUAAUGUUAUUUUUCAGUUUUAUUAUAGGUUUUUUUUGGGUUCAAUAACCUAAAAUUAGCACAAUUAAAAAAAGAAAAAAAAGGG